RNAcentral lists this transfer RNA (71 nucleotides) under Cheilodactylus nigripes. RNAcentral describes it as "tRNA-Met". It matches the Rfam family "tRNA". From Rfam's summary of the family: Transfer RNA (tRNA) molecules are approximately 80 nucleotides in length. Their secondary structure includes four short double-helical elements and three loops (D, anti-codon, and T loops). Further hydrogen bonds mediate the characteristic L-shaped molecular structure. tRNAs have two regions of fundamental functional importance: the anti-codon, which is responsible for specific mRNA codon recognition, and the 3' end, to which the tRNAs corresponding amino acid is attached (by aminoacyl-tRNA synthetases). tRNAs cope with the degeneracy of the genetic code in two manners: having more than one tRNA (with a specific anti-codon) for a particular amino acid; and 'wobble' base-pairing, i.e. permitting non-standard base-pairing at the 3rd anti-codon position. RNAcentral also lists the same sequence under 1 other name. Lineage: Eukaryota; Metazoa; Chordata; Actinopteri; Centrarchiformes; Cheilodactylidae. The record is from RNAcentral.
AGUAAGGUCAGCUAAAAUUAAGCUUUUGGGCCCAUACCCCGAAAAUGUUGGUUAAAUUCCUUCCUUUACUA